AGGGUUCGAUUAUGGCUCAGGAUGAACGCCGGCGGUGUGCCUAAUACAUGCAAGUCGUACGCACUGGCCCAACUGAUUGAUGGUGCUUGCACCUGAUUGACGAUGGAUCACCAGUGAGUGGCGGACGGGUGAGUAACACGUAGGUAACCUGCCCCGGAGCGGGGGAUAACAUUUGGAAACAGAUGCUAAUACCGCAUAACAACAAAAGCCGCAUGGUUUUUGUUUGAAAGAUGGCUUUGGCUAUCACUCUGGGAUGGACCUGCGGUGCAUUAGCUAGUUGGUAAGGUAACGGCUUACCAAGGCGAUGAUGCAUAGCCGAGUUGAGAGACUGAUCGGCCACAAUGGAACUGAGACACGGUCCAU
RNAcentral lists this ribosomal RNA (363 nucleotides) under uncultured bacterium. RNAcentral's name for it is "bacterial SSU rRNA". It matches the Rfam family "Bacterial small subunit ribosomal RNA", at positions 8 to 334 of the family's 1533-position model. The record is from RNAcentral.